GACGAACGCUGGCGGCGUGCUUAACACAUGCAAGUCGAACGCUGAAGCUCAGCUUUUGUUGGGUGGAUGAGUGGCGAACGGGUGAGUAACACGUGAGUAACCUGCCUCCUUCUUUGGGAUAACGCCCGGAAACGGGUGCUAAUACUGGAUAUUCACUGGUCUUCGCAUGGGGGUUGGUGGAAAGGGUUUUUCUGGUGGGGGAUGGGCUCGCGGCCUAUCAGCUUGUUGGUGGGGUGAUGGCCUACCAAGGCUUUGACGGGUAGCCGGCCUGAGAGGGUGACCGGUCACAUUGGGACUGAGAUACGGCCCAGACUCCUACGGGAGGCAGCAGUGGGGAAUAUUGCACAAUGGGCGAAAGCCUGAUGCAGCGACGCCGCGUGAGGGAUGGAGGCCUUCGGGUUGUGAACCUCUUUCGCUCAUGGUCAAGCCGCAACAAUGGUUGUGGUGAGGGUAGUGGGUAAAGAAGCGCCGGCUAACUACGUG
RNAcentral lists this ribosomal RNA (483 nucleotides) under uncultured bacterium. RNAcentral's name for it is "partial 16S ribosomal RNA". It matches the Rfam family "Bacterial small subunit ribosomal RNA", at positions 28 to 507 of the family's 1533-position model. The record is from RNAcentral.